AUUGCAGGCUGCAACUCGCCUGCAUGAAGUCGGAAUUGCUAGUAAUCUAGGUCAGCAUACUACGGUGAAUACGUUCCCGGGCCUUGUACACACCGCCCGUCAAACCAUGAGAGUUGGCAACACCCGAAGUCGGUAGUCUAACCGCAAGGAGGACGCCGCCGAAGGUGGAGCCGAUGACUGGGGUGAAGUCGUAACAAGGUAUC
Molecule: ribosomal RNA, 203 nt
Filed under: uncultured bacterium
Lineage: Bacteria
Description: partial 16S ribosomal RNA
Rfam family: Bacterial small subunit ribosomal RNA
Source: RNAcentral